GAUGUUGUAGUAUAGUGGUAAGUAUUCCCGCCUGUCACGCGCGGGUGACCCGGGUUCGUUCCCCGGCAACGACG
This is a non-coding RNA of Spinacia oleracea (spinach), 74 nucleotides long. Lineage: Eukaryota; Viridiplantae; Streptophyta; Magnoliopsida; Caryophyllales; Amaranthaceae. The record is from Rfam.